This 812-nucleotide ribosomal RNA is filed under the name uncultured Bacillota bacterium. RNAcentral's name for it is "bacterial SSU rRNA". It matches the Rfam family "Bacterial small subunit ribosomal RNA", at positions 77 to 902 of the family's 1533-position model. The record is from RNAcentral. Lineage: Bacteria; Bacillati; Bacillota.
UCGCAAGACUGUUAGCGGCGAACGGUCGCGUAACACGUAGGCAACCUGCCCCAAAGACCGGGACAACAGGGGGAAACUCUUGCUAAUACCGGAUGUGGCCACUCCCUCGCCUGGGGGAGUGAUUAAAUCCAAGUAAUUGGGCUUUGGGAGGGGCCUGCGGCCUAUCAGCUAGUAGGUGAGGUAACGGCUCACCUAGGCGACGACGGGUAGCUGGUCUGAGAGGAUGGUCAGCCGGACUGGGACUGAGACACGGCCCAGACUCCUACGGGGGGCAGCAAUUAGGAAUCUUGUGCAAUGGGCGAAAGCCUGACACAGCGACGCCGCGUGAGGGAGGACGGCCUUCGGGUUGUAAACCUCUUUUAACGAGGAAGAAACAAAUGACGGUACUCGUUGAAUAAGCCCCGGCUAACUCCGUGCCAGCAGCCGCGGUAAUACGGAGGGGGCGAGCGUUGUCCGAAGUUACUGGGCGUAAAGCGCGCGUAGGCGGGGAGCCAAGUCCGCUGUGAAAGCCUGAGGCUUAACCUCAGCGGGUCGGUGGAUACUGGUUCUCUUGAAGGCGUUAGGGGGAGAUGGAAUUACCGGUGUAGCGGUGAAAUGCGUAGAUUUCGGUAGGAACACCCGUGGCGAAGGCGGUCUCCUGGGACGUUCUUGACGCUGAGGCGCGAAAGCUGGGGGAGCGAACGGGAUUAGAUACCCCGGUAGUCCCAGCCCUAAACGAUGGAUACUAGGUGUCGGGGGUAUCGACCCCCCCGGUGCCGUCGCUAACGCAGUAAGUAUCCCGCCUGGGGAGUACGGCCGCAAGGUUGAAACUC